GAUGAACGCUGGCGGCGUGCCUAAUACAUGCAAGUCGAGCGAACGGACGAGAAGCUUGCUUCUCUGAUGUUAGCGGCGGACGGGUGAGUAACACGUGGAUAACCUACCUAUUAGACUGGGAUAACUUCGGGAAACCGGAGCUAAUACCGGAUAAUAUUUUGAACAGCAUGGUUCAAAAGUGAAAGACGGUCUUGCUGUCACUUGUAGAUGGAUCCGCGCUGCAUUAGCUAGUUGGUAAGGUAACGGCUUACCAAGUCAACGGUGCAUAGCCGACCUGAGAGGGUGAUCGGCCACACUGGAACUGAGACACGGUCCAGACUCCUACGGGAGGCAGCAGUAGGGAAUCUUCCGCAAAGGGCGAAAGCCUGAUGGAGCAACGCCGCGUGAGUGAUGAAGGUCUUCGGAUCGUAAAACUCUGUUAUUAGGGAAGAACAUAUGUGUAAGUAACUGUGCACAUCUUGACGGUACCUAAUCAGAAAGCCACGGCUAACUACGUG
Molecule: ribosomal RNA, 497 nt
Filed under: uncultured bacterium
Lineage: Bacteria
Description: partial 16S ribosomal RNA
Rfam family: Bacterial small subunit ribosomal RNA
Source: RNAcentral